GAUGAACGCUGGCGGCGUGCCUAAUACAUGCAAGUCGAGCGAACAGACGAGGAGCUUGCUCCUCUGACGUUAGCGGCGGACGGGUGAGUAACACGUGGAUAACCUACCUAUAAGACUGGGAUAACUUCGGGAAACCGGAGCUAAUACCGGAUAAUAUAUUGAACCGCAUGGUUCAAUAGUGAAAGACGGUUUUGCUGUCACUUAUAGAUGGAUCCGCGCCGCAUUAGCUAGUUGGUAAGGUAACGGCUUACCAAGGCAACGAUGCGUAGCCGACCUGAGAGGGUGAUCGGCCACACUGGAACUGAGACACGGUCCAGACUCCUACGGUAGUCAGCAGGAGGCAAUCUGCCGCAAUGGGCGAAAGCCUGACGGAGCAACGCCGCGUGAGUGAGGAAGUUCUUCGGAUCGUAAAACUCUGUUAUUAGGGAAGAACAAAUGUGUAAGUAACUAUGCACGUCUGGACUGUACCUAAUCAGAAAGCCACGGCUAACUACGU
This 496-nucleotide ribosomal RNA is filed under the name uncultured bacterium. Its description in RNAcentral is "partial 16S ribosomal RNA". It matches the Rfam family "Bacterial small subunit ribosomal RNA", at positions 28 to 506 of the family's 1533-position model. The record is from RNAcentral.